AUGUCUGCUCUGGGGAGCCGGGCUUCGUCUGCCAAUGUGGCCGGCAAGAUUUCUUCAAGGAGAAGAAGGAGGUCCCGAAAGGGGAUGGGAGCAACAAGUCUGAAUCGAAGGGAUAAGGAAAAUUUGUUUAAUCUCGCGGCUGCGCUUGGCUGUGAUCGCCUUGUCCUCACCGGCAUCGCGGCCGCAUGCCACGUGGACUAUGACUCCGCUGCCAGCAGCGAUUGGUCCUUCGCGUGCCUCUACCUCGUCGUGGCCGAGUCCUCCUCUCCCCAAAUCGACAUCCACCCCUUUGUCAAGCCUGGACAUGAGCAGGAUGGUGUACACGAGCUUCACAGACAUGUGGCCGUGGAGGCUCCGGAUGAGGCCGACGCUGAUGACGACUCGAACAGUUCGUAG
Molecule: ribosomal RNA, 396 nt
Filed under: Triticum aestivum (bread wheat)
Lineage: Eukaryota; Viridiplantae; Streptophyta; Magnoliopsida; Poales; Poaceae
Description: partial small subunit ribosomal RNA
Source: RNAcentral